GAUGAAGAACGUAGCGAAAUGCGAUAAGUAAUGUGAAUUGCAGAAUUCAGUGAAUCAUCGAAUCUUUGAACGCACAUUGCGCCCGCCAGUAUUCUGGCGGGCAUGCCUGUUCGAGCGUCAUUUCAACCAUCAAGCCCCAGGCUUGUGUUGGGGACCUGCGGCUGCCGCAGGCCCUGAAAAUCAGUGGCGGGCUCGCUAGUCACUCCGAGCGUAGUAAUACAUCUCGCUUUGGGCGUGCGGCGGGUUCUUGCCGUUAAACACCCCCUUUUUACCAAGGUUGACCUCGGAUCAGGUAGGAAUACCCGCUGAACUUAAGCAUAUCAAUAAGCGGAGGA
This 335-nucleotide unclassified non-coding RNA is filed under the name soil metagenome. RNAcentral's name for it is "partial contains 5.8S ribosomal RNA, internal transcribed spacer 2, and large subunit ribosomal RNA". The stretch from base 1 to 120 matches the Rfam family "5.8S ribosomal RNA", at positions 35 to 154 of the family's 154-position model. The record is from RNAcentral.